Molecule: long non-coding RNA, 218 nt
Organism: Nothoprocta perdicaria
Lineage: Eukaryota; Metazoa; Chordata; Aves; Tinamiformes; Tinamidae
Exons: 3
Source: RefSeq, a predicted model, not a curated record
UAGGAUGUGCUAGCAUCUUCUCUGGGUUCAGCUAUUACUGGCACCUUGUCCUACCUGAGAAAGGGAUCCUGAGGCCUGAUCAAGAGAAGGACAACUCUGCCUACUGAUCAAGAAGUAGCUUGUGAAUGAGCAGCAAAGAGGGAUCUUGCCUAGUGGCCGACCAAAACCUGCUUCAGUUGCUUGGCUGUUCACACUUUUCUUUGACUGGAGAUACUGUU